AUAAUAUCCCAACAGCCCUGGACUUGUCGCAUCAAAAAAAUAAAAAAAAAUAAAUAAAAAAUAAAAGGUAUACAAUGGUAACAAAAGAUCAAUAUUGUCUUUGCCAGUUACUGCAAAUUUUCCACGAAACUAUUUCAGGCUGAGACAUGGGGAACAGAGAUAAAAAGCGGCUAAUAAUUAUUUUUUUUAAAUGAGAGAAAAAUCAGGAAAGAGUGGUUUAAUAAAGGAAUAAAAUAUCCAAAGGGAGUUAAGUGUCACAGAAAAUCAGGGGAAAAAUAUCAAACAUAAGAAGGGUUUUGAAAAUUCUAUUGUAAGGUAUUAGGAGAGCCAGGCUGAGGUUGAUGCUGUGCUACGCAGAGCAGCCUGAGAUGUGCUACAUUGCAA
This is a non-coding RNA of Pelobates cultripes (western spadefoot toad), 384 nucleotides long. NCBI's taxonomy places the organism in Eukaryota, Metazoa, Chordata, Amphibia, Anura, Pelobatidae. The record is from the annotation of a GenBank genome assembly.